Non-coding RNA from Rattus norvegicus (Norway rat), 68 nucleotides. NCBI's taxonomy places the organism in Eukaryota, Metazoa, Chordata, Mammalia, Rodentia, Muridae. The record is from Rfam.
GGGGAUUUAGCUCAGUGGUAGAGCGCUUGCCUAGGAAGCACAGGCCCUGGGUUCGGUCCCCAGCUCCG